This 255-nucleotide small nuclear RNA is filed under the name Octodon degus (degu). Its description in RNAcentral is "7SK RNA (ENSODEG00000023780.1)". It matches the Rfam family "7SK RNA". From Rfam's summary of the family: 7SK was discovered as an abundant small nuclear RNA in the mid-70s but a possible function has only recently been suggested. Two independent studies have found that 7SK RNA binds the CDK9/cyclin T complex (known as elongation factor P-TEFb). Lineage: Eukaryota; Metazoa; Chordata; Mammalia; Rodentia; Octodontidae. The record is from RNAcentral.
GGAUGAGAACACAAUCUGGUUGUGCCAUUUUGUCGCCCCUUGAUUGCUGGGAUUGAUUUGGCUGACCUGGCUGGUUAGGCAGGUGUCCCCUUCCUCCCUCAUUGCUCCUGUGUUUCCCUCCCUAAGGUGCAUGAGCAUAUCCAUCUCUGUCAAGGGUGUAUGUGUAGCUGUGUUCCCCUGGUAGAACCUCCCAGGACCAAAAUGUAUAGUAGAUACUGGGAAGUGGGAAGAAAAUGUUCAAAUGGAAAGGAAAAU